UGCAGCAGGAAGGACUCCAUUUAUCCAGCUCUGAGGCUCUGCCCUUGCACCAUAGCCACCAGUACUUAAGGAGCAAUAAGCUACAGGUACAGCCAACCUCCCUGUAACGUUCUUCUGUGCUGAAAUACCCAGUUUUCCCAGAAGCACCAUUCUGGACCCCUUAAAUUGUGAUUACUGAGACCUCAGAGAAAGCAUUGGCCGAGACUGCCUCUUGCACCUCCACCAGCUCAGAUAUUGCCACCUAAGUGAGAAUGAUCAUCAUAUAGAGUGUGUGAGACCACAACCUGGUGACCACGUCAGCUCCACCGCUAGCCGAAAAAGAAAUAUCCGGGCCAAAGGCACUUGGAGGAUUUCCAGAGACCAGGCCUCUGCUUAGCAGGAGAGGACUCUGUGGUGUUGGUGAUCAGAGACAUCAGGAAAAUGUACAAAGAGGAGUGUUGGCAGACAAGCAUCUGAGAUAUCAUGACUUUCAUUGUCCAGAACUGGAGUGAUUAAGGGGUGAUCUGAUCAAAGUCUUCAAAACAAGGUUGGAGCAAGCAACAUGCACAACAUCUCUCAACUUAUCACCUAAUGAUACAUAAAUGAGUUGCUUGAGGCUCUGCAUGCCAAGAGAGCUGAACACCUCCCGUUUCCUCAUGAUAGAGAUCGAUAAGGCAAAAAUCUCUAACUUUCCCAAUGCAUGGGGAGCCUUUGAUUGCAGUAUUUUUCACAAAGGUCAAGUACUUAUACAUGCUAAGUUCCCUACUGUCUUUUUGUAAUUUUUGCAUGGUCUAUUGGGACUUCAGUGGCUGUAACUUGACCUGUAAAAGGGUAUUGAAUUUCAAUGGGACAGAUUGCAAACGGCCUUGCAGAAUGACAUUGAGGAGCACAGUCCGUCAAACCUGACUUUGGAUUGCAUCAUAAAUGACAGGAAUCUGGCCAGGCUAACUAAUAUCCAUAGGCAGGGAAGCAGCCCAGCGUCAAUGGUGAGUUGAAUGUAAUCUGCUACUUUAAGCGCGACAGUAGGAUCAGGCUUCACAGAUUCCAUGAUAGAACCUCAGCAUUCCUCACAAGGGAAUGGUAAAGAUAGCACAUUUCAUGAGGAAAGUAGUGAAGAAAUAGAUGUAAACUGACAAGAAUCCAGUGGUUUCAUGUUCACUGUUAUCAUUUAUAGUUGAUUUUUUUUCUGAUACCUGAUUGACUUAGUUAGCUGAUUUUCAAUUGUUCAGCUGCUGUGGUGGAUUUUGAACUGAUUGUUCUAGGUCAUUAGUUUAGACUUCUUGGUUAUUGCAUCCACUGUGCUAUAGUACCCCUUAAUAAUGUCAUUUAACAUAGUAUUCAGCCAGGUGAAGGUAAGACACAGCGUGUAUUGGGGUGUGCCAUUUCAUCAAAUCAGCAUUGCACACUGAUUGAUGAAAUAAUCUGAUUUCCCUUCUUGGCUUUCUACUGACAAUCGUUUGUUUCAAAAUAAAACAUCUUUACAAUAGGGUAAAUUGGAGAUACAAUUCUAAAGGUGGUGCAGGAGCAGAGGGACAUUGCUAUGUAUUUACACAGAUCAUUGAAGCUAGUAGGAAAAGGGGACAAGCCAGUAUCCUUAGCUUUAUUAAUUCAAUCAGAAUUUGCAGAAGCAAUUACAAGAAUGGUUCCAGGAAUGAGAAUCUUCCAUGAUUGAGUCAUUAUCUUUUGUGAUGAAGUCAGAUGUCACAUGACACCUGGUUAUAGUCCAACAGGUUUAUCUGAAAUCACAAGCGUUUGGAGCGCUAUUCCUUCGUCAGGUGAAAUGGGCUUCCCCACUUAGAAACAUAAUGCUAAAUUUGAUCACAUUACGGUCACUCAUCACAAAAGAUUCCUUUCCAAUAAAAUUCUGAAUUAAUUAGCCCAUUUUUCAUUACGUUCUCAUGGCACACUGGAUAGUAAAUUGUAUAUCAUGCCCUGCUAUUCUGGAAUUGUACAAAGGUAAAGCAUUUUAAAGCAGGUACACAAAAUUUCCCAAUUUACCUGAUUUUCAGACCAGAUUGAUAGAUAUGUGAAGGUCUGGCUUUUUUUUGAGAGUAUAU
Long non-coding RNA from Stegostoma tigrinum, 2036 nucleotides. RefSeq lists it as uncharacterized. The record is from RefSeq and is a predicted model, not a curated record. Lineage: Eukaryota; Metazoa; Chordata; Chondrichthyes; Orectolobiformes; Stegostomatidae. The transcript has 3 exons.